This 465-nucleotide ribosomal RNA is filed under the name uncultured bacterium. RNAcentral's name for it is "bacterial SSU rRNA". It matches the Rfam family "Bacterial small subunit ribosomal RNA", at positions 338 to 795 of the family's 1533-position model. The record is from RNAcentral.
CCUACGGGUUGCACCAGUGGGGAAUAUUGCACAAUGGGCGCAAGCCUGAUGCAGCCAUGCCGCGUGUAUGAAGAAGGCCUUCGGGUUAUAAAGUACUUACAGCGGGGAGGAAGGCGUUGUGGUUAAUAACCACAGCAAUUGACGUUACCCGCAGAAGAAGCACCGGCUAACUCCGUGCCAGCAGCCGCGGUAAUACGGAGGGUGCAAGCGUUAAUCGGAAUUACUGGGCGUAAAGCGCACGCAGGCGGUCUGUCAAGUCGGAUGUGAAAUCCCCGGGCUCAACCUGGGAACUGCAUUCGAAACUGGCAGGCUAGAGUCUUGUAGAGGGGGGUAGAACUCCAGGUGUAGCGGUGAAAUGCGUAGAGAUCUGGAGGAAUACCGGUGGCGAAGGCGGCCCCCUGGACAAAGACUGACGCUCAGGUGCGGAAGCGUGGGGAGCAAACAGGAUUAGAUACCCCGGUAGUC